Molecule: ribosomal RNA, 440 nt
Filed under: uncultured bacterium
Lineage: Bacteria
Description: partial 16S ribosomal RNA
Rfam family: Bacterial small subunit ribosomal RNA
Source: RNAcentral
CCUACGGGAGGCAGCAGUGGGGAAUAUUGCACAAUGGGGGAAACCCUGAUGCAGCGACGCCGCGUGAGUGAAGAAGUCAUUCGUUAUGUAAAGCUCUAUCAGCAGGGAAGAAAAUGACGGUACCUGAGUAAGAAGCCCCGGCUAACUACGUGCCAGCAGCCGCGGUAAUACGUAGGGGGCAAGCGUUAUCCGGAUUUACUGGGUGUAAAGGGAGCGUAGACGGCAGUGCAAGUCUGGAGGGAAAGGCGGGGGCUCAACCCGCGGACUGCGCUGGAAACUGUACGGCUGGAGUGCGGGAGAGGUAAGUGGAAUUCCUAGUGUAGCGGUGAAAUGCGUAGAUAUUAGGAGGAACACCAGUGGCGAAGGCGGCUUACUGGACUGUAACUGACGUUGAGGCUCGAAAGCGUGGGGAGCAAACAGGAUUAGAUACCCCAGUAGUC